Molecule: transfer RNA, 69 nt
Filed under: Marmota monax (woodchuck)
Lineage: Eukaryota; Metazoa; Chordata; Mammalia; Rodentia; Sciuridae
Description: tRNA.Gly
Source: RNAcentral
GGGUGUGGCUCAGUGGUAGAGUGCUUCCCUACCAUGUGUGAGGCACUGGGUUCAAUUCUCAGCACUGCA